GACGAACGCUGGCGGCACGCUUAACACAUGCAAGUCGAACGAAAAUGUUUCACCGUAGCUUGCUACACCGAGACAUUUUAGUGGCGGACGGGUGAGUAACACGUGAGGAACCUGCCUAUCAGAGAGGGAUACCGUUUGGAAACGAACGUUAAUACCUCAUAACGUAACGAGAUCGCAUGAUAAUGUUACCAGAGAUUUAUCGCUGAUAGAUGGCCUCGCGUCUGAUUAGAUAGUUGGUGAGGUAACGGCUCACCAAGUCGACGAUCAGUAGCCGGACUGAGAGGUUGAACGGCCACAUUGGGACUGAGACACGGCCCAGACUCCUACGGGAGGCAGCAGUGGGGAAUAUUGCGCAAUGGAGGAAACUCUGAUGCAGCGAUGCCGCGUGAGGGAAGAAGGUUUUCGGAUUGUAAACCUCUGUCCUUGGUGACGAAGGAAGUGACGGUAGCCAAGGAGGAAGCCCCGGCUAACCUACGUG
RNAcentral lists this ribosomal RNA (478 nucleotides) under uncultured bacterium. Its description in RNAcentral is "bacterial SSU rRNA". It matches the Rfam family "Bacterial small subunit ribosomal RNA", at positions 28 to 507 of the family's 1533-position model. The record is from RNAcentral.